This 472-nucleotide ribosomal RNA is filed under the name uncultured bacterium. Its description in RNAcentral is "bacterial SSU rRNA". It matches the Rfam family "Bacterial small subunit ribosomal RNA", at positions 28 to 507 of the family's 1533-position model. The record is from RNAcentral.
GACGAACGCUGGCGGCGCGCCUAAUGCAUGCAAGUCGAGCGACGCAUACUCGGUGGGUAACCACUGGGUAUGACGGAGCGGCGAACGGGCGAGUAACACGUGAGUAACCUGCCCCGAAGACCGGGAUAGCCCGGGGAAACCCGGAUUAAUACCGGAUACCCUCUCUGGAUCGCAUGGUCCGGUGAGGAAAGGCCUUUGUGCUUCGGGAUGGACUCGCGGCCUAUCAGCUUGUUGGUGAGGUAACGGCUCACCAAGGCUACGACGGGUAGCUGGUCUGAGAGGACGAUCAGCCACACUGGGACUGAGACACGGCCCAGACUCCUACGGGAGGCAGCAGCAGGGAAUCUUGUCCAAUGGGCGAAAGCCUGAGACAGCGACGCCGCGUGAGGGAUGAAGGCCUUCGGGUUGUAAACCUCUUUCAGGAGGGACGAAAUUGACGGUACCUCCAGAAGAAGCCCCGGCCAACUACGUG